Molecule: non-coding RNA, 24 nt
Filed under: Arabidopsis thaliana (thale cress)
Lineage: Eukaryota; Viridiplantae; Streptophyta; Magnoliopsida; Brassicales; Brassicaceae
Source: RNAcentral
UCGACCAUCUUACUCGACCACACC